Molecule: long non-coding RNA, 209 nt
Filed under: Gallus gallus (chicken)
Lineage: Eukaryota; Metazoa; Chordata; Aves; Galliformes; Phasianidae
Source: RNAcentral
CAACAGUUAACUGAGAGCCCGCGUGGUACGCUUGGAACCCAUCUCGCCCAACUGAACGGGCAGCGUAGUCUUCUUCCAGCACCUCCCCCAGCCAACGCACACAGCGCGGCGCCGGCUCCUGUCGGGCACCCAUCCCUGCGUGCUGCAGCUGUGCGCCACCGCUGUGUGCUGUGUGUGCCCAGCUGCUGGGGGCACGCGGCAGCCCUUCC